Molecule: ribosomal RNA, 431 nt
Filed under: uncultured bacterium
Lineage: Bacteria
Description: partial 16S ribosomal RNA
Rfam family: Bacterial small subunit ribosomal RNA
Source: RNAcentral
AACGAACGCUGGCGGCAGGCUUAACACAUGCAAGUCGAACGCCCCGCAAGGGGAGUGGCAGACGGGUGAGUAACGCGUGGGAACAUACCCUUUUCUACGGAAUAGCUCUGGGAAACUGGAAUUAAUACCGUAUACGCCCUACGGGGGUAAGAUUUAUCGGGGAAGGAUUGGCCCGCGUUGGAUUAGCUAGUUGGUGGGGUAAAGGCCUACCAAGGCGACGAUCCAUAGCUGGUCUGAGAGGAUGAUCAGCCACAUUGGGACUGAGACACGGCCCAAACUCCUACGGGAGGCAGCAGUGGGGAAUAUUGGACAAUGGGCGCAAGCCUGAUCCAGCCAUGCCGCGUGAGUGAUGAAGGCCUUAGGGUUGUAAAGCUCUUUCACCGAUGAAGAUAAUGACGGUAGUCGGAGAAGAAGCCCCGGCUAACUUCGUG